This 754-nucleotide ribosomal RNA is filed under the name uncultured beta proteobacterium. RNAcentral's name for it is "bacterial SSU rRNA". It matches the Rfam family "Bacterial small subunit ribosomal RNA", at positions 40 to 789 of the family's 1533-position model. The record is from RNAcentral. Lineage: Bacteria; Pseudomonadati; Pseudomonadota; Betaproteobacteria.
AUUCAGGCCUAACACAUGCAAGUCGAACGGCAGCACGGACUUCUGUCUGGUGGCGAGUGGCGAACGGGUGAGUAAUGUAUCGGAACGUGCCCAGUUGUGGGGGAUAACUGCUCGAAAGAGCAGCUAAUACCGCAUACGACCUGAGGGUGAAAGCAGGGGAUCGCAAGACCUCGCGCAAUUGGAGCGGCCGAUAUCAGAUUAGGUAGUUGGUGGGGUAAAGGCUCACCAAGCCAACGAUCUGUAGCUGGUCUGAGAGGACGACCAGCCACACUGGGACUGAGACACGGCCCAGACUCCUACGGGAGGCAGCAGUGGGGAAUUUUGGACAAUGGACGCAAGUCUGAUCCAGCCAUGCCGCGUGCGGGAAGAAGGCCUUCGGGUUGUAAACCGCUUUUGUCAGGGAAGAAACGCUCUGGGUUAAUACCUCGGGGUAAUGACGGUACCUGAAGAAUAAGCACCGGCUAACUACGUGCCAGCAGCCGCGGUAAUACGUAGGGUGCAAGCGUUAAUCGGAAUUACUGGGCGUAAAGCGUGCGCAGGCGGUUAUGCAAGACAGAGGUGAAAUCCCCGGGCUCAACCUGGGAACUGCCUUUGUGACUGCAUAGCUAGAGUACGGUAGAGGGGGAUGGAAUUCCGCGUGUAGCAGUGAAAUGCGUAGAUAUGCGGAGGAACACCGAUGGCGAAGGCAAUCCCCUGGACCUGUACUGACGCUCAUGCACGAAAGCGUGGGGAGCAAACAGGAUUAGAUACCCUG